This 339-nucleotide ribosomal RNA is filed under the name uncultured bacterium. RNAcentral's name for it is "bacterial SSU rRNA". It matches the Rfam family "Bacterial small subunit ribosomal RNA", at positions 417 to 748 of the family's 1533-position model. The record is from RNAcentral.
UUCGGGUUGUAAAGCCCUUUUGUUGAAAAAGAAAAGCAACCGGUUAUUACCCGGUUGCACUGACGGUACCCAAAGAAUAAGCACCGGCUAACUUCGUGCCAGCAGCCGCGGUAAUACGAAGGGUGCAAGCGUUACUCGGANUUACUGGGCGUAAAGCGUGCGUCGGUGGUUCGUUAAAUCUGAUGUGAAAGCCCUGGGCUCAACCUGGANAUUGCAUUGCAUACUGGCGGGCUAGAGUGCGGAAGAGGGUAGUGGAAUUCCCGGUGUAGCANUGAAAUGCAUAAAGAUCGGGAGGAACAUCCGUGGCGAAGGCGACUGCCGGGACAGGCACUGANACUG